RNAcentral lists this ribosomal RNA (483 nucleotides) under uncultured bacterium. RNAcentral describes it as "partial 16S ribosomal RNA". It matches the Rfam family "Bacterial small subunit ribosomal RNA", at positions 30 to 507 of the family's 1533-position model. The record is from RNAcentral.
AUUGAACGCUGGCGGCAGGCCUAACACAUGCAAGUCGAGCGGAUGAAGGGAGCUUGCUCCUGGAUUCAGCGGCGGACGGGUGAGUAAUGCCUAGGAAUCUGCCUGGUAGUGGGGGAUAACGUCCGGAAACGGGCGCUAAUACCGCAUACGUCCUGAGGAGAAAGUGGGGGAUCUUCGGACCUCACGCUAUCAGAUGAGCCUAGGUCGGAUUAGCUAGUUGGUGGGGUAAAGGCCUACCAAGGCGACGAUCCAUAACUGGUCUGAGAGGAUGAUCAGUCACACUGGAACUGAGACACGGUCCAGACUCCUACGGGAGGCAGCAGUGGGGAAUAUUGGACAAUGGGCGAAAGCCUGAUCCAGCCAUGCCGCGUGUGUGAAGAAGGUCUUCGGAUUGUAAAGCACUUUAAGUUGGGAGGAAGGGCAGUAAGUUAAUACCUUGCUGUUUUGACGUUACCAACAGAAUAAGCACCGGCUAACUUCGUG